This 449-nucleotide ribosomal RNA is filed under the name uncultured bacterium. Its description in RNAcentral is "bacterial SSU rRNA". It matches the Rfam family "Bacterial small subunit ribosomal RNA", at positions 329 to 795 of the family's 1533-position model. The record is from RNAcentral.
GCCCAGACUCCUACGGGAGGCAGCAGUGGGGGAUAUUGCACAACGGGGGAAACCCUGAUGCAGCGACGCCGCGUGUGGGAAGACGGUCCUCUGGACUGUAAACCACUGUCCCCAGGGACGAAGAUGACGGUACCUGGGGAGGAAGCUCCGACUAACUACGUGCCAGCAGCCGCGGUAAUACGUAGGGAGCGAGCGUUGUCCGGAAUUACUGGGUGUAAAGGGAGCGUAGGCGGGACUGCAAGUUGGGUGUCAAAUCUACCGGCUCAACCGGUAGCCGCACUCAAAACUGCAGUUCUUGAGUGAAGUAGAGGCAGGCGGAAUUCCUAGUGUAGCGGUGAAAUGCGUAGAUAUUAGGAGGAACACCAGUGGCGAAGGCGGCCUGCUGGGCUUUCACUGACGCUGAGGCUCGAAAGUGUGGGGAGCAAGCAGGAUUAGAUACCCCAGUAGUC